This 253-nucleotide ribosomal RNA is filed under the name uncultured bacterium. RNAcentral's name for it is "partial 16S ribosomal RNA". It matches the Rfam family "Bacterial small subunit ribosomal RNA", at positions 524 to 776 of the family's 1533-position model. The record is from RNAcentral.
UACGUAGGGUGCGAGCGUUAAUCGGAAUUACUGGGCGUAAAGCGUGCGCAGGCGGCGCGUUAAGACAGGUGUGAAAGCCCCGAGCUUAACUUGGGAAUUGCGCUUGUGACUGGCGUGCUGGAGUGUGGCAGAGGGAGGUGGAAUUCCACGUGUAGCAGUGAAAUGCGUAGAGAUGUGGAGGAACACCGAUGGCGAUGGCAGCCUCCUGGGCCAGCACUGACGCUCAUGCACGAAAGCGUGGGGAGCAAACAGG